UACAGAGGGUGCGAGCGUUAAUCGGAUUUACUGGGCGUAAAGGGCGCGUAGGCGGUGAGAUGUGUGUGAUGUGAAAGCCCCGGGCUUAACCCGGAAACUGCCAUUGAUACUAUCUGUCUUGAAUACCGUGGAGGUGAGCGGAAUAUGUCAUGUAGCGGUGAAAUGCUUAGAUAUGACAUAGAACACCAAUUGCGAAGGCAGCUCACUACGCGAAUAUUGACACUGAGGCACGAAAGCGUGGGGAUCAAACAGG
RNAcentral lists this ribosomal RNA (253 nucleotides) under uncultured bacterium. Its description in RNAcentral is "partial 16S ribosomal RNA". It matches the Rfam family "Bacterial small subunit ribosomal RNA", at positions 524 to 776 of the family's 1533-position model. The record is from RNAcentral.